GGGUUGUGAGGUUAAGCGACUAAGCGUACACGGUGGAUGCCCUGGCAGUCAGAGGCGAUGAAGGACGUGCUAAUCUGCGAUAAGCGUCGGUAAGGUGAUAUGAACCGUUAUAACCGGCGAUUUCCGAAUGGGGAAACCCAGUGUGAUUCGUCACACUAUCAUUAACUGAAUCCAUAGGUUAAUGAGGCGAACCGGGGGAACUGAAACAUCUAAGUACCCCGAGGAAAAGAAAUCAACCGAGAUUCCCCCAGUAGCGGCGAGCGAACGGGGAGCAGCCCAGAGCCUGAAUCAGUGUGUGUGUUAGUGGAAGCGUCUGGAAAGGCGCGCGAUACAGGGUGACAGCCCCGUACACAAAAAUGCACAUGCUGUGAGCUCGAUGAGUAGGGCGGGACACGUGGUAUCCUGUCUGAAUAUGGGGGGACCAUCCUCCAAGGCUAAAUACUCCUGACUGACCGAUAGUGAACCAGUACCGUGAGGGAAAGGCGAAAAGAACCCCGGCGAGGGGAGUGAAAAAGAACCUGAAACCGUGUACGUACAAGCAGUGGGAGCACGCUUAGGCGUGUGACUGCGUACCUUUUGUAUAAUGGGUCAGCGACUUAUAUUCUGUAGCAAGGUUAACCGAAUAGGGGAGCCGAAGGGAAACCGAGUCUUAACUGGGCGUUAAGUUGCAGGGUAUAGACCCGAAACCCGGUGAUCUAGCCAUGGGCAGGUUGAAGGUUGGGUAACACUAACUGGAGGACCGAACCGACUAAUGUUGAAAAAUUAGCGGAUGACUUGUGGCUGGGGGUGAAAGGCCAAUCAAACCGGGAGAUAGCUGGUUCUCCCCGAAAGCUAUUUAGGUAGCGCCUCGUGAAUUCAUCUCCGGGGGUAGAGCACUGUUUCGGCAAGGGGGUCAUCCCGACUUACCAACCCGAUGCAAACUACGAAUACCGGAGAAUGUUAUCACGGGAGACACACGGCGGGUGCUAACGUCCGUCGUGAAGAGGGAAACAACCCAGACCGCCAGCUAAGGUCCCAAAGUCAUGGUUAAGUGGGAAACGAUGUGGGAAGGCCCAGACAGCCAGGAUGUUGGCUUAGAAGCAGCCAUCAUUUAAAGAAAGCGUAAUAGCUCACUGGUCGAGUCGGCCUGCGCGGAAGAUGUAACGGGGCUAAACCAUGCACCGAAGCUGCGGCAGCGACGCUUAUGCGUUGUUGGGUAGGGGAGCGUUCUGUAAGCCUGUGAAGGUGUACUGUGAGGUAUGCUGGAGGUAUCAGAAGUGCGAAUGCUGACAUAAGUAACGAUAAAGCGGGUGAAAAGCCCGCUCGCCGGAAGACCAAGGGUUCCUGUCCAACGUUAAUCGGGGCAGGGUGAGUCGACCCCUAAGGCGAGGCCGAAAGGCGUAGUCGAUGGGAAACAGGUUAAUAUUCCUGUACUUGGUGUUACUGCGAAGGGGGGACGGAGAAGGCUAUGUUGGCCGGGCGACGGUUGUCCCGGUUUAAGCGUGUAGGCUGGUUUUCCAGGCAAAUCCGGAAAAUCAAGGCUGAGGCGUGAUAACGAGGCACUACGGUGCUGAAGCAACAAAUGCCCUGCUUCCAGGAAAAGCCUCUAAGCAUCAGGUAACAUCAAAUCGUACCCCAAACCGACACAGGUGGUCAGGUAGAGAAUACCAAGGCGCUUGAGAGAACUCGGGUGAAGGAACUAGGCAAAAUGGUGCCGUAACUUCGGGAGAAGGCACGCUGAUAUGUAGGUGAAGUCCCUCGCGGAUGGAGCUGAAAUCAGUCGAAGAUACCAGCUGGCUGCAACUGUUUAUUAAAAACACAGCACUGUGCAAACACGAAAGUGGACGUAUACGGUGUGACGCCUGCCCGGUGCCGGAAGGUUAAUUGAUGGGGUUAGCGCAAGCGAAGCUCUUGAUCGAAGCCCCGGUAAACGGCGGCCGUAACUAUAACGGUCCUAAGGUAGCGAAAUUCCUUGUCGGGUAAGUUCCGACCUGCACGAAUGGCGUAAUGAUGGCCAGGCUGUCUCCACCCGAGACUCAGUGAAAUUGAACUCGCUGUGAAGAUGCAGUGUACCCGCGGCAAGACGGAAAGACCCCGUGAACCUUUACUAUAGCUUGACACUGAACAUUGAGCCUUGAUGUGUAGGAUAGGUGGGAGGCUUUGAAGUGUGGACGCCAGUCUGCAUGGAGCCGACCUUGAAAUACCACCCUUUAAUGUUUGAUGUUCUAACGUGGACCCGUAAUCCGGGUUGCGGACAGUGUCUGGUGGGUAGUUUGACUGGGGCGGUCUCCUCCUAAAGAGUAACGGAGGAGCACGAAGGUUGGCUAAUCCUGGUCGGACAUCAGGAGGUUAGUGCAAUGGCAUAAGCCAGCUUGACUGCGAGCGUGACGGCGCGAGCAGGUGCGAAAGCAGGUCAUAGUGAUCCGGUGGUUCUGAAUGGAAGGGCCAUCGCUCAACGGAUAAAAGGUACUCCGGGGAUAACAGGCUGAUACCGCCCAAGAGUUCAUAUCGACGGCGGUGUUUGGCACCUCGAUGUCGGCUCAUCACAUCCUGGGGCUGAAGUAGGUCCCAAGGGUAUGGCUGUUCGCCAUUUAAAGUGGUACGCGAGCUGGGUUUAGAACGUCGUGAGACAGUUCGGUCCCUAUCUGCCGUGGGCGCUGGAGAAUUGAGGGGGGCUGCUCCUAGUACGAGAGGACCGGAGUGGACGCAUCACUGGUGUUCGGGUUGUCAUGCCAAUGGCACUGCCCGGUAGCUAAAUGCGGAAGAGAUAAGUGCUGAAAGCAUCUAAGCACGAAACUUGCCCCGAGAUGAGUUCUCCCUGAC
RNAcentral lists this ribosomal RNA (2802 nucleotides) under Escherichia coli. Its description in RNAcentral is "partial 23S ribosomal RNA". It matches the Rfam family "Bacterial large subunit ribosomal RNA". The record is from RNAcentral. Lineage: Bacteria; Pseudomonadati; Pseudomonadota; Gammaproteobacteria; Enterobacterales; Enterobacteriaceae.